GAGGAAUAUUGGUCAAUGGGCGAGAGCCUGAACCAGCCAAGUAGCGUGCAGGAUGACGGCCCUAUGGGUUGUAAACUGCUUUUGUAUGGGGAUAAAGUCAAUCACGUGUGAUUGUUUGCAGGUACCAUACGAAUAAGGACCAGCUAAUUCCGUGCCAGCAGCCGCGGUAAUACGGAAGGUCCGGGCGUUAUCCGGAUUUAUUGGGUUUAAAGGGAGCGUAGGCUGGAGAUUAAGUGUGUUGUGAAAUGUAGACGCUCAACGUCUGACUUGCAGCGCAUACUGGUUUCCUUGAGUACGCACAACGUUGGCGGAAUUCGUCGUGUAGCGGUGAAAUGCUUAGAUAUGACGAAGAACUCCGAUUGCGAAGGCAGCUGACGGGAGCGCAACUGACGCUGAAGCUCGAAGGUGCGGGUAUCGAACAGGAUUAGAUACCCUGGUAGUCCGCACAGUAAACGAUGGAUGCCCGCUGUUGGUACCUGGUAUCAGCGGCUAAGCGAAAGCAUUAAGCAUCCCACCUGGGGAGUACGCCGGCAACGGUG
RNAcentral lists this ribosomal RNA (539 nucleotides) under uncultured bacterium. Its description in RNAcentral is "bacterial SSU rRNA". It matches the Rfam family "Bacterial small subunit ribosomal RNA", at positions 356 to 896 of the family's 1533-position model. The record is from RNAcentral.